UGGGGCCGAAAAAUAUAACCGGAAAAAUGCAAUCAAAUCUCUUAUAUCAAUGCUCCUGCUCCAGCAAAGCAAUCCCAAAAUUAUAGAAAUUUAUAUGCAAUAAAAGAUCAUCAACAUCAUCAAUCCAAUAAGCAUUAACAAACAUAUCUCCUUUUUUUCUUCUUUCCUCAAUUCAAAAUCGAAAACCCAUCUAUUAAAUCAGCAGUCGAUUACGUAAGCAAAAAUAGAUCGAUACUAAGGAAAUCAAAACAUCAUCGAAAGAAGCCGAUCGAUCCAUAGCCAAAUUUACCCACAUUUCAACAACGAGGCAUCAAAUCAUUCAUCUAAAACAAAACGCACACAUAUGAACCUCUAAAAAUCCCGAAUACAAUUUACCUGGGCGGGGAUCAGUGAUGACCAUGUUCCUUGGCGUGUUGCUGGUGCUCGAGAUGGCGACGCUCAUUUGGGAGAGCGACGAAACAAUUGCUCAACCAAAAUCAGCAGCAGCACAAUGAAAGCAGUGUAAUAGGGUAAUCGUUCAAGAUUCAUACCUCAAAAGAUUCAAAAACCAAACGCCGAUGAGAGAAAAAAUGAAGCAGUGGAUUUCAAACGUGCUGCAACAAAUGAAAGGGAAAAAAUGAAAAAAGAGACUGAGAGAGAGAAUUGGUAAAGAAAUGGGAGGAGAAAUUGUGAAGACAGAAAAAGGAGAGGGUGGAGGUCGAUUUCGAGUAGGGAGAGAGGGUAAAACAGAGACUUGGGAAGGAAAGCCGGAUGUAAUGGGUAAUCGUAC
This 769-nucleotide long non-coding RNA is filed under the name Gossypium raimondii (Peruvian cotton). RNAcentral describes it as "long non-coding RNA (GRAI_LNC000639)". The record is from RNAcentral. Lineage: Eukaryota; Viridiplantae; Streptophyta; Magnoliopsida; Malvales; Malvaceae.